GACGAACGCUGGCGGCGUGCUUAACACAUGCAAGUCGAACGGAAAGGCCCCUUUGGGGGUCCUCGAGUGGCGAACGGGUGAGUAACACGUGAGUAACCUGCCCUUGACUUCGGGAUAACUUCAGGAAACUGGGGCUAAUACCGGAUAGGAAUCCUUGCUGCAUGGUGGGGGUUGGAAAGCUUCUGCGGUUUUGGAUGGACUCGCGGCUUAUCAGCUUGUUGGUGGGGUAGUGGCUUACCAAGGCUUUGACGGGUAGCCGGCCUGAGAGGGCGACCGGCCACAUUGGGACUGAGAUACGGCCCAGACUCCUACGGGAGGCAGCAGUGGGGAAUAUUGCACAAUGGGCGGAAGCCUGAUGCAGCAACGCCGCGUGCGGGAUGACGGCCUUCGGGUUGUAAACCGCUUUCAGCAGGGGCGAAGCUUGUGGUGACGGUACCUGCAGAAGAAGCACCGGCUAACUACGUG
Molecule: ribosomal RNA, 465 nt
Filed under: uncultured bacterium
Lineage: Bacteria
Description: partial 16S ribosomal RNA
Rfam family: Bacterial small subunit ribosomal RNA
Source: RNAcentral